Dermochelys coriacea (leatherback sea turtle) is the source of this 970-nucleotide long non-coding RNA. RefSeq lists it as uncharacterized. Lineage: Eukaryota; Metazoa; Chordata; Testudines; Dermochelyidae. The transcript has 3 exons. The record is from RefSeq and is a predicted model, not a curated record.
AAGACUGGAUUACUAGAGGGGUACAGAGAGACUAGCACCUGGGGAAGGGCAGGUGUUAGCCGGGACCCAGGGAGAGCUCCUGAUGGGCUGCCAGGACUCACAGUCUUGAGGCCUUGGGAAAUGGGCAAAGGAGCUGGAGCCAGAGGCAGUAGGAACUAAGGCUGCGAAGAAGUGGCCCAGGGGAUAGAGACAGUGAGCUGGAAGGAAGAGGCAGCAGGGGUUGGGGCCCUGAGUAGUGGAUGGGACUGGGCACCCCCCAACACACUAGUCACUGAAGGAGCGGCCCAGCUGUGGACUGCCAAGCUGCUGCGAGGAGUUAUUGGACUCUUGUUGAAGGAGUCCCCUGGAAUGGGGGGGAACGGAUGUUGACACGGCCAGAGGGCUGUGCCACAAAUCAGACACUGAGAGAUAGGAGCUGUAACGGGUCUGCAGGUGGUAGUGAGGAUGGGAAAACCACCACCACUGGAGGGUGCACCCGCUGGGAUGGAGCUAAUUCCUAAAAUGCCCAGCAGGAGGCAUCAAUGUGAUAUCUUUGAGAACCUUCUGAUGGAACAAACUCUAGAGGGAUACUAUGAAAGAAGAUCAGCUGAUCUGGAGAUAUAUCCUGGAGAACAUAUUGACAGGCAAACAGAUUAGUAUGCUUGUGAGCCUCCCUUCUGCAUCAGGAAACUGUCUUCAGCAGAACAUCAAAUACCAAGAAAAACAGAUCCUUAAGUUAUCUGUGUUUCUAUCAAUAUCAGAAGAUACCAAGAGUAUGCAAUAGUGAAAGGGAGAUAGGACACAAAGACUGGUCAAGACCAUUUCUUUGUGCACAAACCAGAACAAUUGAGCAUUAACAUGGUAAAACUGAAGCUGAUGUCAACUCAAGAUGCAUAGAGAAAGAGUGCUAAGUACUAGUUACAGUACUGAACUGCAGUCUUUAUCCAUCUGUAACAAAAACUCAUGCUAAAUCUGUUAAACCUACUUGAUG